RNAcentral lists this unclassified non-coding RNA (331 nucleotides) under soil metagenome. Its description in RNAcentral is "partial contains 5.8S ribosomal RNA, internal transcribed spacer 2, and large subunit ribosomal RNA". The stretch from base 1 to 120 matches the Rfam family "5.8S ribosomal RNA", at positions 35 to 154 of the family's 154-position model. The record is from RNAcentral.
GAUGAAGAACGCAGCGAAAUGCGAUAAGUAAUGUGAAUUGCAGAAUUCAGUGAAUCAUCGAAUCUUUGAACGCACAUUGCGCCCCCUGGUAUUCCGGGGGGCAUGCCUGUUCGAGCGUCAUUUCACCACUCAAGCCUCGCUUGGUAUUGGGCAACGCGGUCCGCCGCGUGCCUCAAAUCGACCGGCUGGGUCUUCUGUCCCCUAAGCGUUGUGGAAACUAUUCGCUAAAGGGUGUUCGGGAGGCUACGCCGUAAAACCACCCCAUUUCUAAGGUUGACCUCGGAUCAGGUAGGGAUACCCGCUGAACAUAAGCAUAUCAAUAAGCGGAGGA